This 460-nucleotide ribosomal RNA is filed under the name uncultured bacterium. RNAcentral describes it as "partial 16S ribosomal RNA". It matches the Rfam family "Bacterial small subunit ribosomal RNA", at positions 338 to 795 of the family's 1533-position model. The record is from RNAcentral.
CCUACGGGAGGCAGCAGUGAGGAAUAUUGGUCAAUGGACGCAAGUCUGAACCAGCCAUGCCGCGUGCAGGAAGACGGCUCUAUGAGUUGUAAACUGCUUUUGUACGAGGGUAAACGCAGAUACGCGUAUCUGUCUGAAAGUAUCGUACGAAUAAGGAUCGGCUAACUCCGUGCCAGCAGCCGCGGUAAUACGGAGGAUUCAAGCGUUAUCCGGAUUUAUUGGGUUUAAAGGGUGCGUAGGCGGUCGGAUAAGUUAGAGGUGAAAUCCCGAGGCUCAACUUCGGAAUUGCCUUUGAUACUGUUCGGCGAGAGAGUAGUUGCGGUAGGCGGAAUGUAUGGUGUAGCGGUGAAAUGCUUAGAGAUCAUACAGAACACCGAUUGCGAAGGCAGCUUACCAAGCUACUUCUGACGUUGAGGCACGAAAGCGUGGGGAGCAAACAGGAUUAGAUACCCGUGUAGUC